CCACUAACCCGCCCAGGAACAGGAUCUUAGUAAGAUUGUGAUCUCUUCGUACUGCUGUAAACAAAGAUUGUAAGAAGAUAUUAGUAAGAUUGAGAUCUUACUAACUAUUGUUGCAUGAGUAUUACUAAGAUCUUACUGAUUGUUGUUGAGCAUUCUGUACAACAACAACAACAUUGAUUUCAAAUUCGUUUACUGAAUUUAAAUGACGGGACUAACAGAAUUUGCUCAUGAUCAGAAACUGCUGAAAAUGCAGUGCCUACACCAUUCUAUACCAACCACACCACAAUUCAGAGAAAAAUGAAGCACAGAGCUACUCCCGACACACCACAAUUUACACAGGAUCCACCACAUUUUGGAGUAAUUUGCAGUAAGGAAUUGACAGCACUAAACAUCUUGGAAUUGACCUGCGAAGAAGAUGCCGCCGCUACCGUCGAGCUUGCAAGGGGGAGCCUUUGCUCUUGUCGUCUGGCUCGUCGCAAGGAGGAGUACAUAGUUUCAGACAAUACGUAUACCUGCGACUGGAAACGCUGCUGGACCCCAUGGAAGAACUGCUCCUCUGAUGGAGUACCUGAAAACACCCAGUUGUGUAAAGCCCAGUUCUGUACCUGAAAAUUCAGAUUGUGAAGAAUUUCCAAUCAAAGUCCAUACGAAAUUCCAAUCAAAGUACUCCAACUUAAAUGAUUCUGAAUAAAACAAGGUUCAGAACUAACAAGGUUCAGAAAUGUUGUCUCCAACUUAAAUUCAGAAUUCUACUCCUUACAGCACACCAGCGACAGAUCUUGACAUACCGGCACACCCAUCUCCUCAAGCUCCUGCACGCACAUAAUCGAUCACUUCCCCCAAUCACUACGGCAUACCGCAUCCAAGGAGUCAUACUCAGCUCGAUUUGGUACCUUCUAGAGCGACUCAC
RNAcentral lists this long non-coding RNA (910 nucleotides) under Triticum aestivum (bread wheat). RNAcentral describes it as "long non-coding RNA (TAES_LNC007895)". Lineage: Eukaryota; Viridiplantae; Streptophyta; Magnoliopsida; Poales; Poaceae. The record is from RNAcentral.